This 424-nucleotide ribosomal RNA is filed under the name uncultured prokaryote. RNAcentral describes it as "bacterial SSU rRNA". It matches the Rfam family "Bacterial small subunit ribosomal RNA", at positions 355 to 796 of the family's 1533-position model. The record is from RNAcentral.
UGGGGAAUUUUCCGCAAUGGGCGCAAGCCUGAUCCAGCCAUGCCGCGUGAGUGAUGAAGGCCCUAGGGUUGUAAAGCUCUUUCAACGGUGAAGAUAAUGACGGUAACCGUAGAAGAAGCCCCGGCUAACUUGGUGCCAGCAGCCGCGGUAAUACGAAGGGGGCUAGCGUUGUUCGGAAUUACUGGGCGUAAAGCGCGCGUAGGCGGAUUGAUCAGUCAGGGGUGAAAUCCCGGGGCUCAACCCCGGAACUGCCUUUGAUACUGUCAAUCUAGAGAUCGAGAGAGGUGAGUGGAAUUCCGAGUGUAGAGGUGAAAUUCGUAGAUAUUCGGAGGAACACCAGUGGCGAAGGCGGCUCACUGGCUCGAUACUGACGCUGAGGUGCGAAAGCGUGGGGAGCAAACAGGAUUAGAUACCCGCGUAGUCC